RNAcentral lists this ribosomal RNA (1061 nucleotides) under Aspergillus terreus. RNAcentral's name for it is "SSU rRNA". It matches the Rfam family "Eukaryotic small subunit ribosomal RNA", at positions 85 to 1155 of the family's 1831-position model. Lineage: Eukaryota; Fungi; Ascomycota; Eurotiomycetes; Eurotiales; Aspergillaceae. The record is from RNAcentral.
AACUGCGAAUGGCUCAUUAAAUCAGUUAUCGUUUAUUUGAUAGUACCUUACUACAUGGAUACCUGUGGUAAUUCUAGAGCUAAUACAUGCUAAAAACCCCGACUUCGGAAGGGGUGUAUUUAUUAGAUAAAAAACCAAUGCCCUUCGGGGCUCCUUGGUGAUUCAUAAUAACUUAACGAAUCGCAUGGCCUUGCGCCGGCGAUGGUUCAUUCAAAUUUCUGCCCUAUCAACUUUCGAUGGUAGGAUAGUGGCCUACCAUGGUGGCAACGGGUAACGGGGAAUUAGGGUUCGAUUCCGGAGAGGGAGCCUGAGAAACGGCUACCACAUCCAAGGAAGGCAGCAGGCGCGCAAAUUACCCAAUCCCGACACGGGGAGGUAGUGACAAUAAAUACUGAUACGGGGCUCUUUCGGGUCUCGUAAUUGGAAUGAGUACAAUCUAAAUCCCUUAACGAGGAACAAUUGGAGGGCAAGUCUGGUGCCAGCAGCCGCGGUAAUUCCAGCUCCAAUAGCGUAUAUUAAAGUUGUUGCAGUUAAAAAGCUCGUAGUUGAACCUUGGGUCUGGCUGGCCGGUCCGCCUCACCGCGAGUACUGGUCCGGCUGGACCUUUCCUUCUGGGGAAUCCCAUGGCCUUCACUGGCUGUGGGGGGAACCAGGACUUUUACUGUGAAAAAAUUAGAGUGUUCAAAGCAGGCCUUUGCUCGAAUACAUUAGCAUGGAAUAAUAGAAUAGGACGUGCGGUUCUAUUUUGUUGGUUUCUAGGACCGCCGUAAUGAUUAAUAGGGAUAGUCGGGGGCGUCAGUAUUCAGCUGUCAGAGGUGAAAUUCUUGGAUUUGCUGAAGACUAACUACUGCGAAAGCAUUCGCCAAGGAUGUUUUCAUUAAUCAGGGAACGAAAGUUAGGGGAUCGAAGACGAUCAGAUACCGUCGUAGUCUUAACCAUAAACUAUGCCGACUAGGGAUCGGGCGGUGUUUCUAUGAUGACCCGCUCGGCACCUUACGAGAAAUCAAAGUUUUUGGGUUCUGGGGGGAGUAUGGUCGCAAGGCUGAAACUUAAAGAAAUUG